GCCUGGGUGGCGGAACUGGUAGACGCAAGGGACUUAAAAUCCCUCGGAGCCCCGUUGCUCUGUACGAGUUCGACUCUCGUCCCAGGCA
This 88-nucleotide transfer RNA is filed under the name Deltaproteobacteria bacterium. RNAcentral's name for it is "tRNA-Leu". It matches the Rfam family "tRNA". Rfam says of the family: Transfer RNA (tRNA) molecules are approximately 80 nucleotides in length. Their secondary structure includes four short double-helical elements and three loops (D, anti-codon, and T loops). Further hydrogen bonds mediate the characteristic L-shaped molecular structure. tRNAs have two regions of fundamental functional importance: the anti-codon, which is responsible for specific mRNA codon recognition, and the 3' end, to which the tRNAs corresponding amino acid is attached (by aminoacyl-tRNA synthetases). tRNAs cope with the degeneracy of the genetic code in two manners: having more than one tRNA (with a specific anti-codon) for a particular amino acid; and 'wobble' base-pairing, i.e. permitting non-standard base-pairing at the 3rd anti-codon position. Lineage: Bacteria; Pseudomonadati; Myxococcota; Myxococcia. RNAcentral also lists the same sequence under 1 other name. The record is from RNAcentral.